GAACUACUCCCUCCGUCCCAAAAUUUUGUCUUAGAUUCGUCUAGAUAUGGAUGUAUCUAAUACUAAAACGUGACUUGAUACAUCCGUAUUCCGACAAAUCUAAGACAAAUAUUUUGAGAUGGAGGGAGUAUAAC
Molecule: non-coding RNA, 134 nt
Organism: Triticum aestivum (bread wheat)
Lineage: Eukaryota; Viridiplantae; Streptophyta; Magnoliopsida; Poales; Poaceae
Source: Rfam